RNA transcript from Oncorhynchus kisutch (coho salmon), 4636 nucleotides. It is a transcript of the gene named prostaglandin E synthase 3, with no coding region annotated. The transcript has 7 exons. NCBI's taxonomy places the organism in Eukaryota, Metazoa, Chordata, Actinopteri, Salmoniformes, Salmonidae. The record is from RefSeq and is a predicted model, not a curated record.
AAAAAAAAAUACAAAAAAUUGGUGGGGCUAAUUGUGGCAACUCCCCUCUUGCUGCUGAAAACAAACAUUUGGGCUAAUGUUCAGGCCUUGCCGUAGCUGUUGAGUAGUUCACUGGGCGUAAGAAAAUGUGACUAGACCUGGCAACCCUGCUCGUGAAGGCUCUAGAAACGUCGAAGGCGCGGUAGCUGCGUCACAGCGUCAGGUCCGAUUCGGAGUCCUCGAGGUGUAAGACAGGGUGGCCUUGCAGUGUGUAGAAUACAAUACACAGUUCUGUAGUUCGCGCACACUUUUCUACAGCCCAUUGAAACGAAAUCCCCACAAGGAGAGUAUUCUAAAUUGAAUUGUGUAUCCCCAAGGAGACGGCGAUCCCAACGGCAUUUGACAUACAACAAGACAUGCAUCCAGCGACUGCUAAGUGGUAUGACAGACGGGACUCCGUCUACAUCGAGUUCUGCGUAGCGGACAGCAAGGAUGUCAAGAUCAAUUUUGAGAAAGCAAAGUUUGCUUUCAGUUGUCUUGGAGGAACUGACCAAGUCAAACACGAGAAUGAAGUAGACCUUUUCGAAGCCAUUGAUCAAAAUGAAUCCAUGCACAAACGCACAGAUCGGUCAGUGUUGUGCUGUUUGCGAAAAGCAGAACCUGGGAAGCCGUGGCUGAGGCUAACAAAAGAGAAGGCUAAGCUAACUUGGCUCAGCGUCGACUUUAACAACUGGAAAGACUGGGAGGACGAUUCGGAUGAGGAGCUAGGCAACUUCGAUCGUUUCUCAGAGGUAGGAGAUGGGGAUAUGGCGUUCAACACACAAGAAGCAAUGGCUAAAAUGAUGAACAACAUGGGAGGGGAAGAUGACCUACCUGAUCUAGAUGGUGCUGAGGAUGUAAGAGCUACUCUGGAGUUCAUUCUCUUUUUCUCCGUUUCACUUUAUUUGAUUUUGUACAAAAACACAAUGUCAUGUGCCUCUUGUGUAUGAGCUUGCUAAUGACUGAUCAGUCCCUUUAGAAGAAUGUGUGGGGCACAAUAUGUUCAAAUCUUAAUUGCGACGGUCAUAUCAGCGAGUCACACAAAUUUCCCCUGGUGGCACUGUUGCCACUACGUUUCUCCAGUUGGUUGCAUCAGCCCAUGAUUUGGUUGCACCAGUUUUUCCUGCGGCAGCAUGCAAUAGAGAAAAUGAGUAAUCGUCUUUAUAAAGAUAUUCAGUGCUUUAUUAACCCUUCUCCUACAAUUUCCGUGGCCCUGUGGAAAUCAAAUUAACGAAGAAAAAAAUCCAUCAUAAUCCCUGUUUAAGAUAUGUUUUUUGAGUGGGGUGCGUCUCAAUCCGCCAAUAUCGGUCUUCGGCAUCUGCCAUGGUGACACUGCGAAAAUCGCCCUUAUCACAAAUCGUUCAGUUUGGCCAAACUAUUAUGACCUCUCUGUGGAAAGAUGAGACUCUCACGGAGACACGGGACUUGUCUGAGGUCAGUACAACUACUGAUGCCAAUUUCUGUAUGUAUCGUCCAAACAAUUUGGCCGACACACUACGAACACGUACAUGUGGUUGUUUUGCUCCAGGACAACCAUAAGGCUCAUAAGACUCGUCUGAACGUCCCUAGUACCAGUUUAAGAAAUGUAUUGGAAGUACAGUACCUUCGGAAAGUUUUCGGACCCUUUGGCUUUUUCCAGAUUUUGUUACGUUACAGCCUUAUUUUAAAAUGGAUAAAAUAAAUAGAAAUCCUCAGCAAUCUACACACUACCCCCCCAUAAUGGAAAAAGUGAAAACGGGUAUUACUGUUUUUAUUUCUAAGAAUUCAGACCCUUAGCUAUGAGACUUGAAAUUAAGCACAGGUGCAUCCUGUUUCCAUUGAUAAUCUUUGAUGUUUCUACAACUUGAUUGGAGUCCACCUGGGGUAAAUUCAAUUGAUUGGAUGUGAUUUGGAACGGCACACACCUGUCUAUAUAAGGUCUCACAGUUGACAGUCCAUGUCAGAGCAAAAACAAAGCCAUGAGGUUGAAGGAAUUGUCCAUAGAGCUCUGAGACAUGAUUGUGUCGAGGCACAGAUCUGGGGAAGGGUACCAAAAGAAUUCUGAGGCAUUGAAGGUCCCCAAGAACACAGUGGCCUCCAUCAUUCUUAAAUGGAAGAAGUUUGGAACCCACCAAGACUCAUCCUAGAGCUGGCUGCCGGGCCAAACUGAGCAAUCGGAGAAGGGCCUUGGUCAGCGAGGUUGCCAAGAACCUGAUGUUCACUCUGACAGAGCUCUAAAGUUCCUAUGUGGAGAUGGUGUCCUUCUGGAAGGUUCUCCCAUCUCUGUAGCACACCACCAAUCAGGCCUUUAUGUUAGUGGCCAGACGGAAGCCACUCCUCAGUAAAAGGUACAUGACAGCCCGCUUGGAGUUUGCCAGACGGUACCUAAGACUCUCAGACCAUGAGAAACGAGACUCUCUGGUCUGCUGAAACCUAGAUUUAACUGUUUGGCCUGAAUGCCAAGUCUCACGUCUGGAGGAAACCUGGCACCAUCCCUACGGUGAAGCGUGGUGGUGGCAGCAUUAUGCUGUGAGCAUGUUUUUCAGCGGCGGGGACUGAGAGACGAGUCAGGAUUGAGGCGAAGAUGAACAGAGCAAAGUACAGAGAGCUCUUUGGUGAAAACCUGCUCAGGACCGCAGACUGGGGCGAAGGUUCACCAUCCUACAGGACAAUGACCCUAAGCACACAGCCAAGCAACGCAGGAGUUGCUUCGGAACAAGUCUCUGUAUGUCCACAUGUUAGCUUAGUAGAACCCAGUUUUCAGAUUUUUUUGGCAAAAAUCUCUGAACAAAUCUUUACGCACUAAUCUAGGUUUAUUUAGGUUCAAUAAACCACCUGAGUAUGUACAAACUCAAAUGCUAGAUUGCUAACUAAUACCCAAUGCUAGUAUCCAUGUAUUAAUCUAACAGUAAAUGUAAUCUCCUAAAAAACGUUGCAGUUGUAGCCUACUUCCCAGUGAGACUUAUGCAAAUCACAAUGGCGGAUGUGCAUUUCGCGCGCUCUGUCUCAAAAGCCAUAGGCCUUUAAAAUAUCUUUGUUUUAAAAGGGUGCUAUUGAGCUCAAUAUUGAGAGUUGAGAAAUGAAUAAGAAAGCUGUGAAAUGCCUCUUCAAUAGUGACAACCGUAUUAACACAGGAUAGCUGUUUUCACCGUAAUUGGAUUUUGAAAUGUUAUACAAUCUGAAGAGAUUCUCCCAGAGAAUUAUUUUCCCCCCCGGGAAGGGCAGUGAGUGGCCCACUUGUCACCGCAGAAGUCCCCAGCCAAACAGGCACUGGGCCAUGGCAGAUACUUUCAUUGCAGGAAUCAUGAAGAUAAUGCUCUUAACUGUUUUUGAGCAAAUCAUGGUUUUAACCUAACCCCUUAGAAAAAUAGGAAGUUUUGCAUGUAGAAUGUGCAGCUCGCAUCCAUACGACCAAUUACGACCAAUUACAAAUUGAACUUCCACAGCCAAGUAAAUGGGUCGCAAAAUGCGACUAAAUUGUCAGUCAGGAGCCCUUUCAUAUGCAACUUCUCAUGCUUAUUUCUGUUCCUGUUUAGGAUGAGUCUGCAGAUAGUGACGAUGAAAAAAUGCCUGAUUUGGAAUGAAAAACCUCAAACCUGGAAGAGGGAUGGAAGGAAGAAUCAAACUAUCUUGAAAUUGAAGACUGGGGAAAAAAAAUCUGUACAGAUGAGUCGGUAGCCAUGUUUAAAUCCAUAGCCUCUGCUCCAGAGCUAAUUUCCAAUCAGUCCACUUAAGGUUGAUAUGCAUAGUGUUGUACAGAGUAGCAGUCUCCACUUCCAUUUGCAGUGCUGCACUCUUGGCGUGUCCUGUUUUUACUAUUAUUAGAUUAAGCAUUCAUGAUUUGUUACGGAUGUACUGUAUAGUCAUCCUCAACCUAGAAAGCAAUACAUGUGAAGAGAUUGUCAAGUGUAAUGAAAAGUAAUUAAACAUCUGUUUUAUCCUCCCCCACAAGGUUCUGUGUUAAGUUAGUUGAGCAGUGUACCAGAACAGUUGAACAUUUUCUGUUUGGUUCCCACUUGUGAGCCUCCCUCCCCUGUGGCAUAUAGAUAGUGAUCAGAGAAACGGUUCCGUGUUUCAGUAGCUUAGCCUUUACGCUUACAUGUUUCCCUUUCUUCCUCACCUGUUAUGUCGCAAACAGUUUAUCAAUGUUAUGUUCAUUUAGAUUUGAAAUGUUCUGGAAUUCAUUACAGGCAUCUGACUUUAUGUUGCUCCCCACUUUUGUUAUUUGACUAAUCCUGUAUUACUAUUUGCGAUCCAACAGCAGUUGAGUUAUUCAUCACACAUUUACGCAGGAAUAGAGCAUACACAUUCCUAUCUGUUUAGGCCUUUGUAAACAUCUGGAUUUGUCUUGUACCCUAAAGAAUAUUCCAUCUGUUUAGAGUUAUGGCAGUUAAAAUAUCCCUUGUGUGGGGAGUGGGUUGUUGAUAUGAGAUGGUAAACUUGUAUAAUGACCAAAUUAUAUUUGCAGUGUCAAGAAAAUGUAAGUCCGGGGAGAUGAAUAGAAGCGUCGUUAUUGGUGUGUAUGUCAACUUGUCAGGUUAUCACAGGCUGAAGAACUUAAAUUGAUGUUGAAUUGCAGUGGAUUUUUUUAUUUUUUAUUGUCUACGUCUUUUUAAUAAACUAAGACUCAUGUUUCACA